Molecule: long non-coding RNA, 230 nt
Filed under: Mytilus galloprovincialis (Mediterranean mussel)
Lineage: Eukaryota; Metazoa; Mollusca; Bivalvia; Mytilida; Mytilidae
Source: RNAcentral
AAAAACUUUUUAAAAUUUAGUGUGUACAUUCAAUAUGGUGACCACGGAAAUCACAAUGGCCGCCAUGUUCGAUGUACACACUUAAUUUUAAAUGAUCUUUAUGAACUUAUCUUCUUUCUGUAAUUCAUUUUUAAGUUGUUAAAAACAUCGAUAAUAUAUUAAUAUUUAAAAAUCAAUGUUUAAAAGUCACCAAUAUGUGCUAAUUUUAAAAUUUAAAGUGUUAUUCGGUC